GAUGAACGCUGGCGGCGUGCCUAAUACAUGCAAGUCGAGCGAACGGACGAGAAGCUUGCUUCUCUGAUGUUAGCGGCGGACGGGUGAGUAACACGUGGAUAACCUACCUAUAAGACUGGGAUAACUUCGGGAAACCGGAGCUAAUACCGGAUGAUAUUUUGAACCGCAUGGUUCAAAAGUGAAAGACGGUCUUGCUGUCACUUAUAGAUGGAUCCGCGCUGCAUUAGCUAGUUGGUAAGGUAACGGCUUACCAAGGCAACGAUGCAUAGCCGACCUGAGAGGGUGAUCGGACACACUGGAACUGAGACACGGUCCAGACUCCUACGGGAGGCAGCAGUAGGGAAUCUUCCGCAAUGGGCGAAAGCCUGACGGAUCAACGCCGCGUGAGUGAUGAAGGUCUUCGGAUCGUAAAACUCUGUUAUUAGGGAAGAACAUAUGUGUAAGUAACUGUGCACAUCUUGACGGUACCUAAUCAGAAAGCCACGGCUAACUACGUG
This 497-nucleotide ribosomal RNA is filed under the name uncultured bacterium. Its description in RNAcentral is "partial 16S ribosomal RNA". It matches the Rfam family "Bacterial small subunit ribosomal RNA", at positions 28 to 507 of the family's 1533-position model. The record is from RNAcentral.